CUGAAGCCUGUGAGCCAGAAUCAUACUUAGUGUUUCCAUGGCAACUUCAAGUCUCAUUCUAAAUGAACUGGAACCCUGAUGACAGGUGUCAGUCCUGGAGCUUGGUUGAAACAAGACAGGCCCUGGACACGUAAAUGCUCACCAUGUCCAGCUGUGCCUGUGGCUUCUGGUGUUCAGAGCGAAUGUCACAGCAGUCUAUGAACGCCACAUUCCAAGGAUGUCACAGCAGGUUUCUGCUCUGUAGCCACUGACCUCUCUCCUGGAAAUGACCUGCCUAGUCAGGCAGCACCUUGGCAACCGGCAACAGCGCCCAUGAACACAUUCUGAUACUUUACCUCAAGGAAGCAAGUGGCAAGACAACCCGAAAGAAAUGAGUGCGGAAAGAACACAAUAUAGAACACAUAAAACACUGAAAUUACAUCAAUAAAACAUGAAAAUACGUCCAACUUGAGACAAAUGCAAAGUGUCAUUUUUAUAGCUAAAUAGUACAUAUACCUUCAAAGUCAACAUUGUCCUGUCAGGUUUCUUAUUAGCCAUAUUUUCAGUCUGUUUUAAUAUUUUAAUGAGUGAAAAGUAUGUAAGUAGUUCUAAAGACCCAACUUAGCAACCAAGUUUAUCUUCUGAAUCUUAUGGUUAAUUUUCCCAUUAAGCCAGAGAACAGUCAUAUAAAGUACAUUUUUGCCAGAAUACAGAAGCUGACCAAGAGGAAGGGGGAAAUGUCAAGUUCCAAAAAGAACCACUAUUUCAACUUAAUCACAAACCUUCUGUGACUACACAGGUGCUCAAUGUAGGUAAAGUUUCUCCAGAUGAAAUAAUUUAUACAAAGCAAAGAACACACAUAUUCUCUCCCUCAGUAUUAAGGAAACAGUCUUAGUCUUCAAAAUAUAACCUGUGAUAAUGCAGUAAAAGCAGCUCAACUUGAGGGUUUCACAGAAUACUUUGAAGUUAAUAUUGAAUUCUUUUUUUUUUGUGGUACCAGGGAUCGAACUUAUGACCUUGCAUUUUCCAGGCAGGUGCUGUGCCACUGAGCUAAAUCCCUGGCCCUAAUAUUGAAUUCUUUAAAAAUAUCUGAAGAGUUAACCAUCAUGUAUUUUUAUUACAAGGUAUUUUAAAAUUUGGGCAGUUAUAAUUGUGUCAGAAACCCAGUUUCAUACCAAAAAUACACUUUCACUUACUAUCAAAGCAAAUAAAAACCAUCUCCAUUUAUUUGCUCCUUCCAGAAGCUAAAAAUAUAAUAAAAAUUCAAUAUUAUGUAUGAUGUACAUGUAAUUAAACAAACAUAUAAAAUGAAUAUGUAUUGAAUUUUCAGAAACAAAAGUAAAAAUAAAUAGCAAUG
Molecule: long non-coding RNA, 1336 nt
Filed under: Heterocephalus glaber (naked mole-rat)
Lineage: Eukaryota; Metazoa; Chordata; Mammalia; Rodentia; Bathyergidae
Description: lncRNA (ENSHGLG00100047925.1)
Source: RNAcentral